This 500-nucleotide ribosomal RNA is filed under the name uncultured bacterium. RNAcentral's name for it is "partial 16S ribosomal RNA". It matches the Rfam family "Bacterial small subunit ribosomal RNA", at positions 30 to 523 of the family's 1533-position model. The record is from RNAcentral.
AUUGAACGCUAGCGGGAUGCCUUACACAUGCAAGUCGAACGGCAGCGCGGACUUCGGUCUGGCGGCGAGUGGCGAACGGGUGAGUAAUGUAUCGGAACGUGCCCAGGAGCGGGGGAUAACUACUCGAAAGAGUAGCUAAUACCGCAUACGCCCUACGGGGUAAAGGGGGGGAUCGCAAGACCACUCAAUAUUGGAGCGGCCGAUAUCGGAUUAGCUAGUUGGUGGGGUAAAGGCUCACCACGGCGACGAUCCGUAGCUGGUUUGAGAGGACGACCAGUCACACUGGGACUGAGACACGGCCCAGACUCCUACGGGAGGCAGCAGUGGGGAAUUUUGGACAAUGGGGGAAACCCUGAUCCAGCCAUUCCGCGUGUGCGAUGAAGGCCUUCGGGUUGUAAAGCACUUUUGGCAGGAAAGAAAUCGCAUCAAUUAAUACUUGGUGUGGAUGACGGUACCUGCAGAAUAAGCACCGGCUAACUACGUGCCAGCAGCCGCAGUAA